GCCAAAUUGAACUUGGACCAUUUUUUGAAGGUUGUACGUCUCUUAUACAUGCCCGUUUGCACAGCGUGUGUGGAUCCUCAGGAACUACAAGGGAUUACAUGACAAGAUUAAAUUAGUUCCAAUUGACCUUCAAAACAGGCCUGCUUGGUACAAAGAGAAAGUCUACCAUGAAAACAAGGUACCCUCAUUG
Quercus lobata is the source of this 190-nucleotide long non-coding RNA. RefSeq lists it as uncharacterized. The record is from RefSeq and is a predicted model, not a curated record. NCBI's taxonomy places the organism in Eukaryota, Viridiplantae, Streptophyta, Magnoliopsida, Fagales, Fagaceae. The transcript has 3 exons.